RNAcentral lists this ribosomal RNA (1427 nucleotides) under uncultured prokaryote. RNAcentral describes it as "partial 16S ribosomal RNA". It matches the Rfam family "Bacterial small subunit ribosomal RNA". The record is from RNAcentral.
AGAGUUUGAUCCUGGCUCAGGAUCAACGCUGGCGAUGUGUAUAAUACAUGCAAGUCGAGCGCGUCACUUGUGACGAGCGGCGAACGGCUGAGUAACACGUUGGUAGUUGCCCCGCACUCAGGUAUAACAUUUAGAAAUAAAUGCUAAUACCGGAUAGUCCCGAAAGGGUAAAGUUUUUUCGGUUCGGGAGGCGCCUGCGGCCUAUCAGCUUGUUGGUGAGGUAAAAGCUCACCAAGGCUAUGACGGGUAGCUGGUCUGAGAGGAUGACCAGCCAGAAUGGGACUGAGACACGGCCCAUACUCCUACGGGAGGCAGCAGUAAAGAAUCUUCCACAAUGGGCGAAAGCCUGAUGGAGCAAUACCGCGUGAAGGAUGAAUGUCGAAAGAUUGUAAACUUCUUUUCUGGGGGAAGAAUUAUGACGGUACCUCAGGAAUAAGCACCGGCUAACUACGUGCCAGCAGCCGCGGUAAUACGUAGGGUGCAAGCGUUAUUCGGAAUUAUUGGGCGUAAAGCGUCCGCAGGCGGUUGAUUAAGUUGAAUAUUAAAUCUUGGGGCCCAACUUCAAGGCUGUGUUCAAAACUGGUCAACUAGAGACUCUCAGAGGUGCGCGGAAUUCUGUGUGUAGGGGUAAAAUCCGUAGAUACACAGAGGAACACCAAAAGCGAAGGCAGCGUACUGGGAGAGUUCUGACGCUCAUGGACGAAAGCGUGGGGAGCGAACGGGAUUAGAUACCCCGGUAGUCCACGCCGUAAACGAUGGAUACUAGGUGUUGGGGGGCUCGACCCCUUCAGUGCCGACGCUAACGCAUUAAGUAUCCCGCCUGGGGAGUACGGUCGCAAGACUAAAACUCAAAGGAAUAGACGGGGACCCACACAAGCGGUGGAGCAUCUGGCUUAAUUUGAUAAUGAGCAAGGAACCUUACCUGGACUUGACAUCCCGAGAACGCUUUGGAAACAAGGAAGUGCCUUCUGGAACUCGGUGACAGGUGCUGCAUGGUUGUCGUCAGCUCGUGCCUUGAGGUGUUCGGUUAAGUCCGUGAACGAGCGCAACCCAUGUCUUAUGUUGUAUUUCUCAUAAGAGACUGCCGGUUCUAAGCCGGAGGAAGGUAUGGAUGACGUCAAAUCAGCAUGGCCCUUAUGUCCAGGGCUGCACAGGUGCUACAAUGGGUGGUACAACGGGUAGCAAUGUCGUAAGGCGGAGCCAAUCCUUAAAGCCACUCUUAGUUCGGAUUGAGGGCUGAAAUUUGCCCUCAUGAAGUUGGAAUCGCUAGUAAACGCGCAUCAGCAAUGGCGCGUUGAAUAUGUUCCUGGGUCUUGUACUCACCGCCCGUCACACUAUGGAAGGUGGGGGCGCCCGAAGUACCCUUAGCUUUUAGCGGGGUCCUAAGGCGAAACUACUGACUGGAGUGAAGUCGUAACAAGGUAACC